This 1474-nucleotide unclassified non-coding RNA is filed under the name Hevea brasiliensis (rubber tree). The record is from RNAcentral. Lineage: Eukaryota; Viridiplantae; Streptophyta; Magnoliopsida; Malpighiales; Euphorbiaceae.
UUAGCCAUUGGAUCAAUUGAAAGAUACUAGUCCAGAGGUGGAAAAUCAUGUGCACGGUAAGAGCAUGCACACCACCAAAUCAGUAUCCUUUCCAAUACAAGGGAUUUUACUAAUUCAAGCCAAUACUUAUGUUUUCAGCCAGUAGUCGACUACUGGCAUUAGGCUCAUCAUGUUUUCACAUCAUACUCACAUACUACAUUUCGAAUUCUUGGGCAACACAAUAUCCAAGGGCCAAAAUUGAAAUGGUUCAUGAUUAUAAGUGCAAUUCAUAGCUUCACAAGUGUAGACAGUUCAUAACCACUCUCCUAGCAUACGCUAAAUAAAUAUGACUACAAGAUCCUAAUAGAUUUAGAUCACUUAGUAAAUGAAUCCAAAUCCUUAUCAAGCACAUAAAAAUUGUUUUGAUUGUAUUAAUGUUGAGAAUCACCGCAAAAGGAGAUAAAAUGAAGGUAUGAAAGGAAAAAGAAAGAGCAUCUACAUGUCUAUGGAAACUGCAAACAAGCAUCCAAAAUGGAACCUUCAGCACGAACUAUUUAAGUGAAAGGCAGCACCCUUGAUGAACAACACCCACCCCCCAAAAAACACAAAACACAAAACACACACACACAAGGUAAUGUUAGUCACAACAGCUAAUGAUAACAUACAUACAAAAGGGCGUGUGCAUGUCAAGUGACGAGCUGUCCAACCCAGUAAAGUCAAACCCACAUGCACAGGGUGAAAAAUUCAACAUGAAACACUGGUUCAGGGUUCCACUCCUACUACAAUCCAGAACAACAAAGGCGACAAAAAAAUAUGUGCAUUACAAAAUUCUAGAACAGUACUAAGUAUAAAAAGAUUUUUGGCAUAAAAAGAACCGUUGAAGUGUGAGCACAUAAGCAUUCAUUGACAUGAUGGAUAGGACAGGAUGGUUAACUAAAAGUUGGCAAGAGAAUUGGAUGAAGUGCUUGGGAAGAAAUGAGGGGAAGUACAAAGAUUGAUAUAUUUGAGUCAAAUAAUAGGAUGCCUAAAGAAUUGCCAGCAAAUGAUAAUUAAAAUAUUUCUCUUAUCUUUCAUCUGUAGAAUUUGGAAUUACCAUAAUGCAUUAAGUAAGCACAAAAAUCAGACCCAUCUCAUUAAAGUUAUCUGAAUGGAUCUUUGAUUGAUCUCUAAAUCUUUCAUCAAUGGCAAACAGAUGCAAGUUUUCUCAUUUUCCCAUGUGCAAAAACAAUACUACAGGUAAGAAAUGUGACGAGAGGUUCAUAGGGUGAUGCACUCACUUGGACCAACAAUUAGCUGGAGAAAGCUUAAAAGAAUGGUUGGUUGCAGUGUCUGUAGGACUCCAGUAAAUUAUUUCAUUCCGAGCAUUCUCCUCCAGAGGUUUCAGAGAGAAAUGACUAUCACCCUCUAAUGGAGGGAAAAAAGCAUUCUGUAACCAUGGAUCAUUAUCGCUUGAACAAGUGACUGGACUAAAUGCCCCACCAUUCUGGCCAUUGCG